This is a long non-coding RNA of Ostrea edulis (European flat oyster), 1052 nucleotides long. RefSeq lists it as uncharacterized. The record is from RefSeq and is a predicted model, not a curated record. The transcript has 3 exons. NCBI's taxonomy places the organism in Eukaryota, Metazoa, Mollusca, Bivalvia, Ostreida, Ostreidae.
CUGAAGAGGACACGGUGUGCGAAUCGAGUAUUAGAAUAAUAGGGUCGGGAGAUUGUACGAGAUUACAGAACUUCAUCCUAAUAACACUACUUAAUUUGAAGAAUAUGACUGACAAGCUCGAAUUCUGCAUACCGUGGAGAUCCGGGUUAGAAUAGGUCCUCAGUACCCCUUGCUUGUCGUAACUGGUGACUAAAUGUGGCGGUCCUUCGGAUGAUACCGCAAAAACCGAGGUCCCGUGCUACAGCAGGGAUGUUCUGCCACUUUUCAAGAACCGCUUGAUGCAAAACGGGUAGAGUUUCUGAUGUUUUUGGGUGCGUUCGAAUGUGUAGAUCUACAGUAUCUCAAACAUGGCGAGAAAUCAGGACUCUAUGGGAAGUUAUUUUGGGGACGCUAUCAUCACCAAAGCUGUCGCAUUCCACCAUGCAAUUAUCGAAAUAACAUUCAGUGUACGCUGAUGCCCAUCUGAGCGUUGAUGAGUACAUGGCGCCAUCUUUGUUUUAGGUCGUUAUAACGAUCUGGUUUGCCAAUACAACAUAUCAUUGGGUCAAAUGCUGUCUGACUUGUUUCAUAUAGAUUGUUAGGCUGAUCUCGGCACACUGAUUUUGACUACGGAUAACUCUGUUUACCUGAUCAAUUAAGAUAUACGGCUCAUGGUGGGUUUGACCGGUGGGCAGGUGAUGCUUACUCCUGAUCCCACUUCUGGUAUAUCCAGGGGUCCGUGUUUGCCCAACUCUCUAUUUUGUAUUGCUUAUAGGAGUUAUGAGAUUGAUCACUGUUCGUUAUCUUCACCUUUCAUUCCAACCGUUGGAAUGCGACGUCAUGUUGAUGACGAUGAAGGGGCGUUCCUACUGCGAUGCGACGCGGAGAAGAGACACCUCAACAUAUUAUCUCAGCUUAUUUUUUAAUAAUGUGUCCCUGGUGUCUCAUUUGCAGGGUAUUUUAUGUGUGCAGUUCUAGAUGAUUGUGCAAGUGCUGCAACCUCAUGAAACGAUCCUGAUGAGGCGUUAUAAUUUUCGGUUGACGAGUUACAAGACGGUCGGCAGUUGUAUCGG